CCUGUCUGUACUCCUCCUGGGGGCUGACUGAAAAUGUGGGGGGGUCCUGUGGAGGCAGGAAAAGGCUGUGGCAAAGUUUACAGAACCUGGCAUUCCCUGGGGAACCUGCGUCUGCACAGCGUUAAUUAAGUGAGGUGGUGGUGAAAUUUACUGAACACAUGAAAUGACUGGGGUGCCCCUGAGGAGAGGUUCAGGAACUGAAGUGGUGUUCAUCUAGUCAUCCAACAAGGUGACAGCUGGGGUGGGGUUGCCAUGGCCGCUGCAAGCGAGGGACAGCCAAUCGCCCUGCAGGACCUCCAGGGAGGGGGGUGGAGUCUUGAUGAACACGG
Non-coding RNA from Paramormyrops kingsleyae, 329 nucleotides. The record is from RefSeq and is a predicted model, not a curated record. Lineage: Eukaryota; Metazoa; Chordata; Actinopteri; Osteoglossiformes; Mormyridae.